Molecule: small nuclear RNA, 101 nt
Organism: Chlorocebus sabaeus (green monkey)
Lineage: Eukaryota; Metazoa; Chordata; Mammalia; Primates; Cercopithecidae
Source: Ensembl
AGGCUCACUUCAGCAGCACAUAUACUAAAAUUGGAGCAAUACAGAGAUUACACAGCCCCUGUGCAAGGAUGACACAAAUUUGUGAAGCAUUCCAUAUAAAA